This 555-nucleotide ribosomal RNA is filed under the name uncultured bacterium. Its description in RNAcentral is "bacterial SSU rRNA". It matches the Rfam family "Bacterial small subunit ribosomal RNA", at positions 777 to 1345 of the family's 1533-position model. The record is from RNAcentral.
AAUAGAUACCCGGGUAGUCCACGCCGUAAACGAUGGAUGCUAGCUGUUAGGAGUAUCGACCCUUCUAGUAGCGAAGCUAACGCGUUAAGCAUCCCGCCUGGGGAGUACGGUCGCAAGAUUAAAACUCAAAGGAAUUGACGGGGACCCGCACAAGUGGUGGAGCGUGUUCUUUAAUUCGAUGAUAAGCGAAGAACCUUACCAGGGCUUGACAUCCUUGGAAUUUCUCCGAAAGGAGAGAGUACUUUAUUGGACCAAGUGACAGGUGUUGCAUGGCCGUCGUCAGCUCGUGUCGUGAGAUGUUAGGUUAAGUCCUUCAACGAGCGCAACCCUUAUGUUUAGUUGGAUUUCUCUAAACAGACUGCCUCGGCAACGGGGAGGAAGGAGGGGAUGAUGUCAGGUCAUUAUUACCCUUACGUCCUGGGCUAGAAACGCGCUACAAUGGCCGGUACAAAGGGCAGCCAACCCGCGAGGGGGAGCAAAUCCCAUCAAAACCGGUCCCAGUUCGGAUUGCAGGCUGAAACUCGCCUGCAUGAAGCCGGAAUCACUAGUAAUCGU